UUUUGGGACCUUACUGGCUUCGGAGUCAUGGGAACUCCGAAGUUAAGCGAGUUGGGGCUAGAGCAAUCCCAAGAUGGGUGAACCACUGGGAAGUUGCUCGUGAGUUCCCAGAA
Molecule: non-coding RNA, 113 nt
Organism: Prunus persica (peach)
Lineage: Eukaryota; Viridiplantae; Streptophyta; Magnoliopsida; Rosales; Rosaceae
Source: Rfam